RNAcentral lists this unclassified non-coding RNA (148 nucleotides) under Mastigosporium album. RNAcentral's name for it is "partial internal transcribed spacer 2". Lineage: Eukaryota; Fungi; Ascomycota; Leotiomycetes; Helotiales. The record is from RNAcentral.
UAACCACUCAAGCGUCUCGCUUGGUCUUGGGGCUCGCGGUCUCGCGGCCCCUAAACUCAGUGGCGGUGCCGGUCGGCUCUACGCGUAGUAAUACUCCUCGCGUCUGGGUCCGGCCGGUCUACUUGCCAGCAACCCCCAAUUCUUUACA